AUUAAGGGCAACGAGUUGAAUUUGUCGCCCAUAGUUAAAUUAUGGGCGACUAAAUUUAUUGUUGUUGCCCCAAAUUCAUAUUUGGGCGACGAGAUAAGUUUGGUUGCCCAUUACUUUAAUUAGGCAACAAAACAUUAUAUUUUGUUGCCCUUAUAUAAUAAAUGGGUUUGUUCAAAUCAUGUAUCGUUGCCCAUAAUCAAAAGAAAAUAGCGGGGAAAACCCCGCUCUAAAUUUUUCACACAAAACCACAUAUUUCACUUCUACAAUACUUCAACUGCUCAUGUCCUUCUCAACUCACACCCUCUUCCACUCCACCUCAUCUUUCUCUUUUUCCGGUGAAUCGUUAUUCUUCCGACGAGUUCUUCGACUUUUGUCAGUUGAUGAGUUUAAUUAUGAUGGAAAAUUGAGUUUCUCACGAAUCAGACUUCGACGGUUAGCGUUUCUCAGGUUUCUCGACGUUUUCAACCACCCCACGUUUCUCAGGUGAUGGAGGCCGGAGUUCAGUGGUGAGGUUAGCGCGAGUUCGGCGGCAAGGUUGGUAUCUUUUAUUAUUUGGCCUAACUCACGAAUCAAACUUCUUUCUUGUGUUUACCUAAGAAUUAUUGGUAUGAAUUUGUCAAUGUUUUCUUGAAUGGAAGGAUUUCUUGUUUUUAUUUCUUGCCAAAUAAAAUUGCUUUGUGGUAGUAAGUUUGAAGACUACUCUAGGAAUAUGAUUUCACUUAGAUGCGAAAAUAUAGGUGCUAAUGUUUAUGUUGAUUAUGGGAUUGGUAUAAAUGAGCAUAAGUUUUCUCCAAUCCCUGUUUGAGAUUACUGAUUAAUUGUGUAUACUUUUCUACAAUUAAUCACUUCUUCUAUGAUAUUAAGGUCAUUGAUGAAACACUUAGGUGGGUAACUUUCUCAUUCGUCGUCUUCCGAGAGGCAAUAUUAGAUGUCAAUAUUAAUGGUCAGUAAACAGAUGAAGCUAUCUCAUUAUUUUUCAGAAAAGAUUAGAAGCAUAUGCAUUUGUUUUCCUCUAAUCUUCUCCUUUUCUGCUUUAUUACGUUUAAUUGAUAUUAUUACAGGUUACACAAUUCCUAAAGGGUGGAAAGUGUUGACAUGGUUUAGGACUUGUUAUUUAGAUCCUGAAGUCUGGCAUGAACCUAUGAAGUUCAAUCCUUCUAGAUGGAAAGUAAGUUCAAUACCGUGGUUAUAUUUCAUCUCUUCAACAAGUUUAGUAAUGAUCGUGACAGUCCCAUUCAUCCAUUUUUUCUUAAUACUAAAUUUCCGCGAUUUUUUUAUGGAAAAGAUUUUAUUGAUUAACAAUGGACCCUUUUUUUUUGUUUAAAGAACCUUGUAUAUUAGUCAUAAAAGUUAUAAUUGUGCAUAGAUGAUAAAACAACACUUACUGGUAAGUGCUGUGAGUAAAUUUUUUCUCACAGCAUCGUAUGUUCUUGAAGACUAAUUUGAUGCAUAGCUGAGUCUAGGUUUGCACUUGAUCUGUGCGAAAUUUUGAUGCCAUAAGCAAUGGCUGAAAGUCUGUCUGAGGUAGCUCUGUGUGGUGCAUAUCUUUACUGAGGUUGUUGAGGCUGCCAUUUCUCUAAAUGGUUUCUGAUUGAGAAAGUUCUAUUUGUUUUUGUGCAUGAGCACUAUUGUUUGAUAUCUGUUCCCUAAGCUAGAUUUUUUCCUGCAACAAAGUUUAGGGAAAGGAUUGAACCAAACAAAGAUUAGACAGGUAGUUUAAUAAUGCUUUUAUAAUACCACUUUGUAUGCUUUAUCCGUCUCAGCUUGUGUAUCCUUUAACUUUAAAUUUGUACUUUACUAAUGUCACCGGCUUGUUAUUCUAAGGGUGAGUUAGUUAGUACAAGAAUUAUCUAGUGUGUUAGUUAUAAAAAUAACACUUUUCCACUAAUUGUUGUUUCUCUUCUGAUUUUGUUCUGAUUCGCUGAGGGCCCCGACAAUGACCGUGGCAGCCAGUCAUAGCUACUAUCUGCAGAUUGUAGAGCCGCAUCAACGUAUGCCAGUGUUUAUAUGAGCUACUUGCUGCACUGCCUGCUAUAAUUUUUAUGUUUAAUGACCUGCCUUUAUGUUCAUAAAUUUCUAACCCCUUUCAGUUCUUUUUCUGUUUGCAAGAUUGCAAUUCCCACAUGAUUUACAGGGUAGGAGAUUAGAGUAUAUGAUUAAAAUUUAGUUUACUAUUAUGUUUGCUAUUCGAUUAAUUAUGAUGUUCUGUGAAAGGAAUUUGCUCUAUCCAUUAUUAUGUCUUAAUGCAACGACUUGGGGGCUUGAGAAUGCAAUAGUAAGUAAUGUAGAAAAUUCUAGAUAUUGAACCUUGUGCUACUGUUCUGAACUUAUGAUGCAUAAGAGAACAUUGAAAUAUUUGCAAACUUUUCAGGAUUGAUUUCUUGUGCUACUGUUCUGAACUUAUGAUGCAUAAGAGAACAUUGAAAUAUUUGCAAACUUUUCAGGAUUGAUUUGUCGUAAGUUGUGGGUUGUCUAUAGGGGUGAAAGUUCGGUGUGCGGUUUGGAUUAGGGCCUAAUCCAAUCCGAUCCGAACAAAAUUUGGAUUUCAAUUUUUCAAUCCGAAUCCAAACCAAUUAGGGUUUGAAUCCGAUCCAAUCCAAUCCGAAUUUUCAUACUCUAAAUUGGAUCCGAUCCGAAAAUCCGAUUUUUUUAAAACUCUAGUUUUUCGAUGAAAUGAAUUAAGCACAACAACAACUUAGCAGAUUUAGUAAAUGAGGAAUUAAGUGUACUUAGUGUUUUAGGGGAAGGGUUGAAGUGCUAUGUAUAUAUGGAGUAGUUUUUUUAUAAAAAAGAUAAGCACUUAAGCCCAAUCCAGAUACAUAAUACAAGGCAUAUUACUAUUUGGUUAUAUUGGAUUUUUGGAUCCGAUUACCCUCAAUCCAAUCCGAUCCGAAAAUCCAAAUUUUCAAGAAAUCUCAAUCCGAAUCCAAUCCGAACACAGUUCAAAUCCGAUCCGAAUUACUAAUUUGGAUUGGAUUGGAUUGGAUUUUGGAUUUUAUCCGAAUAACUUUCACCCCUAGUUGUCUAUUUACAGACUCCACAACUGUCCAUUAGAUAAGAAAGAAAAUCUUCACUUUUAGCAAAAGUCGUACUUAUGAACAUGGAGCAUUUUGUUAUCAAAUAUUAUGGAUAAAAUUCCUUUAGAAUAUGAGCCAAAUUAUAGUUCUCGAUUUGACGAACUCCAAACUUUAAUUUCAUAUUAUCAUUACUAAUAAUAUUUUUUGUCUUUUCUUUUCUAAGUGAUUAGUUGUUUUUAGGUUUGUUGAGUGUAUCAACUAUGAUCUGCCUUGUACUUACCUUGGUCCGCCUUUAAAAUUUAAUCCUAGUGGAGUAGUUUGUUGGACCGGGUUGUAUUUUCUUCUCCCCUUUAAGCUCAUGAUGGAUGCAGAUAGAAGAUCGGAUAGAUCUAUGAGGGUUAUUGUGGUCUUGUAGAGGAGGAGGAGAGGGAUUAAUUUAUGAGAUGGGAUCAUGUGUAUUGAUCGAGGGUAGAAAUUGCUGGUCUGAUGUUGUUGUCUUUGGAAAGAAGGAUUACCAUAAGUCGUACUAUGAAACUCAUUGUUGAUAUCAUUGUUGUCGUUUUGAAUGAUAUAGUGAUUGUAUUGUUUUGAAUGAUUUAGUGAUGGUUGCAUCUGGACAUAUUGCUUUUUUUGGGGCGGAAGAGUAAAAAGAUCAUUUUCCUCCUCCCCUCCCCCCCAAUUUUUUUUAUCACAUGAGUGCCUAAUUUUAACGAUUUCGCUUUUAUCAGGAACAGUGGGUCGUGACUAUUUUCUCAAAUUAGUAAAGGAAAGCUAUAUGAAGUAUGACAAGGGUUGGAUUAUGUGAAUUUCUUUGCAGAUUAUGGGUAGUGCUAAUUAGUUUUUUCUAGAUUUAUUUUGAAUUUUGUAAGAUAUUCAAGUUACGUCGGAUGUUGAAUUUGAAGAUUAUUUUGUACUCCACCGAUUGUCUACAAUUUAUAUUCCAUGAAUACUUCUUUUAUUAUAUCA
Beta vulgaris subsp. vulgaris (sugar beet) is the source of this 3983-nucleotide long non-coding RNA. RefSeq lists it as uncharacterized. Lineage: Eukaryota; Viridiplantae; Streptophyta; Magnoliopsida; Caryophyllales; Amaranthaceae. The transcript has 2 exons. The record is from RefSeq and is a predicted model, not a curated record.